RNAcentral lists this ribosomal RNA (563 nucleotides) under uncultured archaeon. RNAcentral's name for it is "bacterial SSU rRNA". It matches the Rfam family "Archaeal small subunit ribosomal RNA", at positions 311 to 879 of the family's 1478-position model. The record is from RNAcentral.
CGCGAAUUCGCCCUUCGGGGUGCCCAGGCGCGAAAACUUUGCAAUGCGGGAAACCGUGACAAGGGAACUCUGAGUGCCCGUUAAAUCGGGCUGUCCAUCGGUUUAAAUAACCGGUGAAGAAAGGGCCGGGCAAGACCGGUGCCAGCCGCCGCGGUAAUACCGGCGGCUCGAGUGGUGGCCACUAUUACUGGGCUUAAAGCGUUCGUAGCUGGUUUGUUAAGUCUCUGGGGAAAUCUUCCGGCUUAACCGGAAGGCGUCUCAGGGAUACUGGCAGACUAGGGACCGGGAGAGGUGAGAGGUACUCCAGGGGUAGGAGUGAAAUCCUGUAAUCCUUGGGGGACCACCUGUGGCGAAGGCGUCUCACCAGAACGGCUCCGACAGUGAGGGACGAAAGCUGGGGGAGCAAACCGGAUUAGAUACCCGGGUAGUCCCAGCUGUAAACGAUGCGCGUUAGGUGUAUCGGUGACCACGAGUCACCGAGGUGCCGAAGAGAAAUCGUGAAACGUGCCGCCUGGGAAGUACGGUCGCAAGGCUGAAACUUAAAGGAAUUGGCGGGGGAGCAC